Non-coding RNA from Pelobates cultripes (western spadefoot toad), 109 nucleotides. Lineage: Eukaryota; Metazoa; Chordata; Amphibia; Anura; Pelobatidae. The record is from the annotation of a GenBank genome assembly.
AAAAUGUUCUUCCUUUUCAUUAUAUUGGGGGCUAGAUCUACUAUUAAAUAAUAGCAGAUUAAAUAAUAGCAGAUCUAGCCCCCAAUAUAAUGAAAAGGAAGAACAUUUU